Molecule: ribosomal RNA, 254 nt
Filed under: uncultured bacterium
Lineage: Bacteria
Description: partial 16S ribosomal RNA
Rfam family: Bacterial small subunit ribosomal RNA
Source: RNAcentral
UACGAGGGGGGCGAGCGUUGUUCGGAAUUAUUGGGCGUAAAGGGUGCGUAGGCGGUUCCGCAAGUCCUGUGUGAAAUCUUCGGGCUCAACUCGAAGUCUGCACGGGAAACUGCGGGGCUUGAGUGUGGGAGAGGUGAGUGGAAUUCCCGGGUGUAGCGGUGAAAUGCGUAGAUAUCGGGAGGAACACCUGUGGCGAAAGCGGCUCACUGGACCAUAACUGACGCUGAUGCACGAAAGCUGGGGGAGCAAACAGG